Molecule: ribosomal RNA, 534 nt
Filed under: uncultured bacterium
Lineage: Bacteria
Description: partial 16S ribosomal RNA
Rfam family: Bacterial small subunit ribosomal RNA
Source: RNAcentral
UGGGGAAUAUUGCACAAUGGGCGAAAGCCUGAUGCAGCAACGCCGCGUGAGUGAUGAAGGCCUUCGGGUUGUAAAGCUCUGUCUUUUGGGACGAUAAUGACGGUACCAAAGGAGGAAGCCACGGCUAACUACGUGCCAGCAGCCGCGGUAAUACGUAGGUGGCAAGCGUUGUCCGGAUUUACUGGGCGUAAAGGAUGCGUAGGCGGAUUUUUAAGUGAGAUGUGAAAUACCCGGGCUUAACUUGGGUGCUGCAUUUCAAACUGGGAAUCUAGAGUGCGGGAGAGGAGAAUGGAAUUCCUAGUGUAGCGGUGAAAUGCGUAGAGAUUAGGAAGAACACCAGUGGCGAAGGCGAUUCUCUGGACCGUAGCUGACGCUGAGGCAUGAAAGCGUGGGUAGCAAACAGGAUUAGAUACCCUGGUAGUCCACGCCGUAAACGAUGAGUACUAGGUGUAGGAGGUAUCGACCCCUUCUGUGCCGCAGUUAACACAAUAAGUACUCCGCCUGGGAAGUACGAUCGCAAGAUUAAAACUCAAA